Molecule: ribosomal RNA, 875 nt
Filed under: uncultured archaeon
Lineage: Archaea
Description: bacterial SSU rRNA
Rfam family: Archaeal small subunit ribosomal RNA
Source: RNAcentral
CCUGACUGCUAUCGGAUUGAUACUAAGCCAUGCGAGUCUUUGCAGUAAUGCAAGGCAUACGGCUCAGUAACACGUAGUCAACUUACCCUAUGGACGAGGAUAAUCUCGGGAAACUGAGCAUAAUACCCGGUAGACCACUUAUCCUGGAAUGGUUAGUGGUUAAAAUGAUUCGUCGCCAUAGGAUGGGACUGCGGCCUAUCAGCUUGUUGGUGAGGUAAUGGCCCACCAAGGCGAUUACAGGUACGGGCUCUGAGAGGAGAGGCCCGGAGAUGGGUACUGAGACAAGGACCCAGGCCCUAUGGGGCGCAGCAGGCGAGAAAACUUUGCAAUGUGCGAAAGCACGACAAGGUUAAUCCGAGUGAUUUCUGCUAAAGGAAUCUUUUGUUAGUUCUAAAAAUACUAGUGAAUAAGGGGUGGGCAAGUUCUGGUGUCAGCCGCCGCGGUAAAACCAGCACCUCAAGUGGUCAGGAGGAUUAUUGGGCCUAAAGCAUCCGUAGCCUGUUCUAUAAGUUUGCGGUUAAAUCUAUACGCUCAACGUAUAGGCUGCUGUAAAUACUGUAGAACUAGGGAGUGGGAGAGGUAGACGGUACUCGGUAGGAAGGGGUAAAAUCCUUUGAUCUAUCGAUGACCACCUGUGGCGAAGGCGGUCUACCAGAACACGUUCGACGGUGAGGGAUGAAAGCUGGGGGAGCAAACCGGAUUAGAUACCCGGGUAGUCCCAGCUGUAAACGAUGCAGACUCGAUGAUGCAAUGGCAUAGAGCUAUUGCAGUAUCGCAGGGAAGCCGUUAAGUCUGCCGCCUGGGAAGUACGUACGCAAGUAUGAAACUUAAAGGAAUUGGCGGGGGAGCACCACAAGGGGUGAAGCCUGCGGUUC